GACGAACGCUGGCGGCGUGCUUAACACAUGCAAGUCGAACGAUGACGACCGAGCUUGCUCGGUCUGAUUAGUGGCGAACGGGUGAGUAACACGUGAGCAACCUGCCCCUCACUCUGGGAUAACCUCGGGAAAUCGGGGCUAAUACCGGAUAUGAGCUCCUGUCGCAUGGCGGGUGUUGGAAAGUUUUUCGGUGGAGGAUGGGCUCGCGGCCUAUCAGUUUGUUGGUGGGGUAGUGGCUCACCAAGGCGAUGACGGGUAGCCGGCCUGAGAGGGCGACCGGCCACACUGGGACUGAGACACGGCCCAGACUCCUACGGGAGGCAGCAGUGGGGAAUAUUGCACAAUGGGCGAAAGCCUGAUGCAGCGACGCCGCGUGAGGGAUGACGGCCUUCGGGUUGUAAACCUCUUUCAGCAGGGAAGAAGCGAAAGUGACGGUACCUGCAGAAGAAGCGCCGGCUAACUACGUG
RNAcentral lists this ribosomal RNA (467 nucleotides) under uncultured bacterium. RNAcentral describes it as "partial 16S ribosomal RNA". It matches the Rfam family "Bacterial small subunit ribosomal RNA", at positions 28 to 507 of the family's 1533-position model. The record is from RNAcentral.